Molecule: ribosomal RNA, 718 nt
Filed under: uncultured bacterium
Lineage: Bacteria
Description: bacterial SSU rRNA
Rfam family: Bacterial small subunit ribosomal RNA
Source: RNAcentral
GGGGAGCUUGCUCCCGCUGACGAGUGGCGGACGGGUGAGUAAUGCAUGGGAAUCCGCCCUUUAGUUGGGGAUACCGUAGGGAAACUUACGUUAAUACCGAAUAUGAUCUACGGAUUAAAGGUGGCCUCUACUUGUAAGCUAUCGCUAAAGGAUGAGCCCAUGUUAGAUUAGCUAGUUGGUGAGGUAAUGGCUCACCAAGGCAUCGAUCUAUAGCUGGUUUGAGAGGAUGAUCAGCCACACUGGGACUGAGACACGGCCCAGACUCCUACGGGAGGCAGCAGUGGGGAAUAUUGCACAAUGGAGGAAACUCUGAUGCAGCCAUGCCGCGUGUGUGAAGAAGGCCCGAGGGUUGUAAAGCACUUUUAGUGAGGAGGAAAGGCUAGUAGUUAAUACCUGCUAGCUGUGACGUUACUCACAGAAAAAGCACCGGCUAACUCUGUGCCAGCAGCCGCGGUAAUACAGAGGGUGCAAGCGUUAUUCGGAAUUACUGGGCGUAAAGCGCGCGUAGGCGGAUUGUUAAGUCAGUUGUGAAAGCCCUGGGCUCAACCUAGGAACGGCGAUUGAAACUGGCAGUCUAGAGUUUAGUAGAGGGAAGGGGAAUUUCUGGAGUAACAGUGAAAUGCGUAGAUAUCAGAAGGAACAUCAGUGGCGAAGGCGCCUUCCUGGACUAAAACUGACGCUGAGGUGCGAAAGCGUGGGGAGCAAACGGGAUUAGAUA